RNAcentral lists this ribosomal RNA (468 nucleotides) under uncultured bacterium. RNAcentral describes it as "partial 16S ribosomal RNA". It matches the Rfam family "Bacterial small subunit ribosomal RNA", at positions 28 to 507 of the family's 1533-position model. The record is from RNAcentral.
GACGAACGCUGGCGGCGUGCUUAACACAUGCAAGUCGAACGGACAGGCCCUGCUUUUGUGGGGUGCUUGAGUGGCGCACGGGUGAGUAACACGUGAGUAACCUGCCCUUGACUUUGGGAUAACUUCAGGAAACUGGGGCUAUUACCGCAUAGGAUCUCCUGCUCCAUGGUGUGCGUUGGUAAGUUUCGGCGGUUGGGGAUGGACUCGCAGCUUAUCAGCUUGUUGGUGUGGUAGGUGCUUACAAAGGCUUUGACGGGUAGCCGGCCUGAGAGGGUUACCGGCGACAUGGGGACUGAGAUAGGGCCCAGACUCCUACGGGAGGCAGCGGGGGGGAAUAUGGCACAAUGGGCGGAAGCCUGAUGCAGCAACGCCGCGUGCGGGAUGACGGCCUACGAGUUGUAAACCGCUGUCGCCUGUGACGAAGCGAGAGUGACGGUAAUGGGUAAAGAAGCACCGGCUAACUACGUG